RNAcentral lists this ribosomal RNA (237 nucleotides) under uncultured Staphylococcus sp. RNAcentral's name for it is "partial 16S ribosomal RNA". It matches the Rfam family "Bacterial small subunit ribosomal RNA", at positions 103 to 334 of the family's 1533-position model. Lineage: Bacteria; Bacillati; Bacillota; Bacilli; Caryophanales; Staphylococcaceae. The record is from RNAcentral.
CGGGUGAGUAACACGUAGAUAACCUACCUAUAAGACUGGGAUAACUUCGGGAAACCGGAGCUAAUACCGGAUAAUAUAUUGAACCGCAUGGUUCAAUAGUGAAAGACGGUUUUGCUGUCACUUAUAGAUGGAUCCGCGCCGCAUUAGCUAGUUGGUAAGGUAACGGCUUACCAAGGCAACGAUGCGUAGCCGACCUGAGAGGGUGAUCGGCCACACUGGAACUGAGACACGGUCCAG